GCCUGGGUGGCUCAGUUGGUUAAGCAUCUGACUUCAGCUCAGGGCAUGAUCUCAGAGCUCGUGAGUUCGAGCCCCACAUCAGGCU
This 85-nucleotide transfer RNA is filed under the name Felis catus (domestic cat). It matches the Rfam family "tRNA". From Rfam's summary of the family: Transfer RNA (tRNA) molecules are approximately 80 nucleotides in length. Their secondary structure includes four short double-helical elements and three loops (D, anti-codon, and T loops). The record is from Rfam by way of RNAcentral. Lineage: Eukaryota; Metazoa; Chordata; Mammalia; Carnivora; Felidae.